AUUGAACGCUGGCGGCAGGCCUAACACAUGCAAGUCGAGCGGAUGAAGGGAGCUUGCUCCUGGAUUCAGCGGCGGACGGGUGAGUAAUGCCUAGGAAUCUGCCUGGUAGUGGGGGAUAACGUCCGGAAACGGGCGCUAAUACCGCAUACGUCCUGAGGGAGAAAGUGGGGGAUCUUCGGACCUCACGCUAUCAGAUGAGCCUAGGGCGGAUUAGCUAGUUGGUGGGGUAAAGGCCUACCAAGGCGACGAUCCGUAACUGGUCUGAGAGGAUGAUCAGUCACACUGGAACUGAGACACGGUCCAGACUCCUACGGGAGGCAGCAGUGGGGAAUAUUGGACAAUGGGCGAAAGCCUGAUCCAGCCAUGCCGCGUGUGUGAAGAAGGUCUUCGGAUUGUAAAGCACUUUAAGUUGGGAGGAAGGGCAGUAAGUUAAUACCUUGCUGUUUUGACGUUACCAACAGAAUAAGCACCGGCUAACUUCGUG
This 484-nucleotide ribosomal RNA is filed under the name uncultured bacterium. Its description in RNAcentral is "partial 16S ribosomal RNA". It matches the Rfam family "Bacterial small subunit ribosomal RNA", at positions 30 to 507 of the family's 1533-position model. The record is from RNAcentral.